ACUUACUGAUCGACACCUAAAUAUCCAUUUGGAAAUGUGUCAGGGUAAAAAUGGAAACCGAGAACUGCAAUUAUAGCCAAACCACGUAUACCUUGUAGAUCA
This is a non-coding RNA of Caenorhabditis elegans, 102 nucleotides long. Lineage: Eukaryota; Metazoa; Nematoda; Chromadorea; Rhabditida; Rhabditidae. The record is from Ensembl.